UACGGGGGGAGCAAGCGUUGUUCGGAUUUACUGGGCGUAAAGGGCGCGUAGGCGGUCGUGACAAGUCACUUGUGAAAUCUCCGGGGCUUAACUCGGAACGGUCAAGUGAUACUGUCGGACUAGAGUACAGAAGGGGCAACUGGAAUUCUCGGUGUAGCGGUGAAAUGCGUAGAUAUCGAGAGGAACACCAAUGGCGAAGGCAGCACUCUGGGGACGUGACUGACGCUGAGACGCGAAAAGCGUGGGGAGCAAACAGG
This 257-nucleotide ribosomal RNA is filed under the name uncultured bacterium. RNAcentral describes it as "partial 16S ribosomal RNA". It matches the Rfam family "Bacterial small subunit ribosomal RNA", at positions 524 to 776 of the family's 1533-position model. The record is from RNAcentral.